UACAGAGGGUGCGAGCGUUAAUCGGAAUUACUGGGCGUAAAGCGUGCGUAGACGGUUAUUUAAGUCGGGUGUGAAAGCCCCGGGCUCAACCUGGGAAUUGCAUUCGAGACUGAAUAGCUAGGGUACGGUAGAGGGAAGUGGAAUUUCCGGUGUAGCGGUGAAAUGCGUAGAUAUCGGAAGGAACAUCAGUGGCGAAAGCGGCUUCCUGGUCCAGCACCGACGUUCAGGCACGAAAGCGUGGGGAGCAAACAGG
Molecule: ribosomal RNA, 253 nt
Filed under: uncultured bacterium
Lineage: Bacteria
Description: partial 16S ribosomal RNA
Rfam family: Bacterial small subunit ribosomal RNA
Source: RNAcentral